CAAGAGGGGGGGAUUUCCACCCCCACCACUGGCACCCAAAGCCAAAAUUCUGGGGUUCAAACUACCUCUUG
RNAcentral lists this transfer RNA (71 nucleotides) under Ambystoma gracile (northwestern salamander). RNAcentral describes it as "tRNA-Pro". The record is from RNAcentral. Lineage: Eukaryota; Metazoa; Chordata; Amphibia; Caudata; Ambystomatidae.